Poecilia latipinna (sailfin molly) is the source of this 692-nucleotide long non-coding RNA. RefSeq lists it as uncharacterized. Lineage: Eukaryota; Metazoa; Chordata; Actinopteri; Cyprinodontiformes; Poeciliidae. The transcript has 2 exons. The record is from RefSeq and is a predicted model, not a curated record.
AGCAGAAAAAGACACAAACCGGGGAGGCUGAAAGCAAACAGUUUGCCGUGCAUUAAAAAUCCCACUCACGAGCGCUGACUGACAGCGCGUUUCAGAUGGACCGAAGGUAAGGAGUGACUUUGAGACAAAGAAAGCGAAGCGGGUGGGGGUUGAGGGGGCAGCAAGUUGAAACCUAAGCUCUCUGAACCCUGUUUUCCCUGCCUUCGGGCAUUCUGUGGCUGGUAAAAAUAUGUGCUGUAUAUUUGAAGUGUUAUAUCACGUGACAAAGGCAGGGUUUGUGAAUCAAAGUGCACGACGAUCUCAAGAGGAGGGAAAAAGACAGAGAGAAAGAGAAAGAGGGUGUGCGCUGGUGAGAAGACGACGACGACGAGAGAGACGGGAAAAGCAGAGAGGGAGGUGGAAUGCAACAGGCUGAGCUCUGUUGUCGCUGCAAGUCGGACUUCUGACUGACAAACGCGACCGCGGCGCUACGUUUCAAACUCCCUUCUCCUCCGACUCUCUGAGGCGUUCACAUCCAACAUCUGCAUUCGGACCUGGACAGGACUUUGCUUCCCGCCUCCCUCCUCAGCAUCGCCGCGGCCGGACAGAAGAGCAGCCAGCAGCUGAGCGGGGCUGAAUGGCACUACCCCGAUUCAAAGUCACCAAACGUCCCUGACAAAGAAGCUAAAGAGGAAGACAAAGGAAACAAAAAA